RNAcentral lists this ribosomal RNA (463 nucleotides) under uncultured bacterium. RNAcentral describes it as "partial 16S ribosomal RNA". It matches the Rfam family "Bacterial small subunit ribosomal RNA", at positions 28 to 507 of the family's 1533-position model. The record is from RNAcentral.
GAUGAACGCUGACAGAAUGCUUAACACAUGCAAGUCUUUGGCGAAUCUGUGCUUGCACAGGCUUGCCAAGGCGGACGGGUGAGUAACGCGUAAAGAACUUGCCCUGCAGACAGGGAUAACAGACGGAAACGACUGAUAACACCUGAUACAGUUGCCGGCACGCAUGUGCCUGGCAAUGAAAAGAGAUGCUGCAGGAGAGCUUUACGUCCUAUUAGCUUGUUGGUGAGGUGACGGCUCACCAAGGCGAUGAUAGGUAGCCGGCCUGAGAGGGUGAACGGCCACAAGGGGACUGAGAUACGGCCCUUACUCCUACGGGAGGCGGCAGUGGGGAAUAUUGGACAAUGGGGGCAACCCUGAUCCAGCAAUUCUGUGUGCACGAAGAAGGUUUUCGGAUUGUAAAGUGCUUUCAGCAGGGAAGAAGAAAGUGACGGUACCUGCAGAAGAAGCGACGGCUAAAUACGUG